This 419-nucleotide ribosomal RNA is filed under the name uncultured bacterium. RNAcentral's name for it is "bacterial SSU rRNA". It matches the Rfam family "Bacterial small subunit ribosomal RNA", at positions 355 to 776 of the family's 1533-position model. The record is from RNAcentral.
UGAGGAAUAUUGCGCAAUGGGCGAAAGCCUGACGCAGCGACGCCGCGUGGGGGAUGAAGGUUUUCGGAUUGUAAACCCCUUUCGUGAGGAAAGAUAAAGUGGGUAACCACUUGGACGGUACCUCAAGAAGAAGCCACGGCUAACUUCGUGCCAGCAGCCGCGGUAAUACGAAGGUGGCAAGCGUUGUUCGGAUUUACUGGGCGUAAAGAGCACGUAGGCGGUUGGGUAAGCCUCUUGGGAAAUCUCCCGGCUUAACCGGGAAAGGUCGAGGGGAACUACUCAGCUAGAGGACGGGAGAGGAGCGCGGAAUUCCCGGUGUAGCGGUGAAAUGCGUAGAUAUCGGGAAGAAGGCCGGUGGCGAAGGCGGCGCUCUGGAACGUACCUGACGCUGAGGUGCGAAAGCGUGGGGAGCAAACAGG